AGGACGAACGCUGGCGGCGUGCUUAACACAUGCAAGUCGAACGGGCUCGUGGCACUUGUGUUGCGGGUUAGUGGCGAACGGGUGAGUAACACGUGAGUAACCUGCCCCAGACUCUGGGAUAACUCUGGGAAACCGGUGCUAAUACUGGAUAUGACAUCAAGCCGCAUGGUUAUGGUGUGGAAAGUUUUUCGGUCUGGGAUGGGCUCGCGGCCUAUCAGCUUGUUGGUGAGGUAGUGGCUCACCAAGGCGACGACGGGUAGCCGGCCUGAGAGGGCGAUCGGCCACACUGGGACUGAGACACGGCCCAGACUCCUACGGGAGGCAGCAGUGGGGAAUAUUGCACAAUGGGCGCAAGCCUGAUGCAGCGACGCCGCGUGAGGGAUGACGGCCUUCGGGUUGUAACCUCUUUCAGCAGGGAGAAGCCGUUUCGGGUGACGGUACCUGCAGAGAAGCACCGGCUAACUACGUGCCAGCAGCCGCGGUAAU
This 486-nucleotide ribosomal RNA is filed under the name uncultured bacterium. RNAcentral describes it as "SSU rRNA". It matches the Rfam family "Bacterial small subunit ribosomal RNA", at positions 26 to 524 of the family's 1533-position model. The record is from RNAcentral.